RNAcentral lists this ribosomal RNA (498 nucleotides) under uncultured bacterium. RNAcentral describes it as "partial 16S ribosomal RNA". It matches the Rfam family "Bacterial small subunit ribosomal RNA", at positions 28 to 507 of the family's 1533-position model. The record is from RNAcentral.
GACGAGCGCUGGCGGCGUGCCUAAUACAUGCAAGUCGAGCGGACGAAUCGAAAGCUUGCUUUUGAUUCGUUAGCGGCGGACGGGUGAGUAACACGUGGGCAACCUGCCCUGUAGACGGGGAUAACACCGAGAAAUCGGUGCUAAUACCGGAUAACACGAAAUGUCGCAUGACGUUUCGUUGAAAGACGGCGCAAGCUGUCGCUACAGGAUGGGCCCGCGGCGCAUUAGCUAGUUGGUGAGGUAACGGCUCACCAAGGCGACGAUGCGUAGCCGACCUGAGAGGGUGAUCGGCCACACUGGGACUGAGACACGGCCCAGACUCCUACGGGAGGCAGCAGUAAGGAAUCUUCCGCAAUGGACGAAAGUCUGACGGAGCAACGCCGCGUGAGCGAAGAAGGCCUUCGGGUCGUAAAGCUCUGUUGUUAGGGAAGAACAAGUAACGCAGUAACUGGCGUUACCGUGACGGUACCUAACGAGAAAGCCACGGCUAACUACGUG